This 499-nucleotide ribosomal RNA is filed under the name uncultured bacterium. Its description in RNAcentral is "bacterial SSU rRNA". It matches the Rfam family "Bacterial small subunit ribosomal RNA", at positions 903 to 1397 of the family's 1533-position model. The record is from RNAcentral.
AAAUGAAUAGACGGGGGCCCGCACAAGCAGCGGAGCAUGUGGUUUAAUUCGAAGCAACGCGAAGAACCUUACCAGGGCUUGACAUCCACAGUAGGCUGUAGAGAUACGGCUGUGCCCCUUUGGGGAACUGUGAGACAGGUGGUGCAUGGUUGUCGUCAGCUCGUGUCGUGAGAUGUUGGGUUAAGUCCCGCAACGAGCGCAACCCCUAUCGCUAGUUGCUAACGGGUAAAGCUGAGCACUCUAGGGAGACUGCCGGGGACAACUCGGAGGAAGGUGGGGAUGACGUCAAAUCAUCAUGCCCCUUAUGUCCUGGGCUACACACGUGCUACAAUGGCCGGAACAGAGGGCAGCGAAGGAGUAAUCCGGAGCCAAUCCCAAAAACCCGGUCCCAGUUCGGAUUGUGGGCUGCAACCCGCCCACAUGAAGUCGGAGUUGCUAGUAAUCGCGGAUCAGCCAUGCCGCGGUGAAUGCGUUCCCGGGCCUUGUACACACCGCCCGU